RNAcentral lists this ribosomal RNA (369 nucleotides) under uncultured bacterium. Its description in RNAcentral is "bacterial SSU rRNA". It matches the Rfam family "Bacterial small subunit ribosomal RNA", at positions 115 to 500 of the family's 1533-position model. The record is from RNAcentral.
GCGUGAGGAACCUGCCUCAAAGAGGGGGACAACAGUUGGAAACGACUGCUAAUACCGCAUAAGCCCACAGGUCGGCAUCGACCAGAGGGAAAAGGAGCAAUCCGCUUUGAGAUGGCCUCGCGUCCGAUUAGCUAGUUGGUGAGGUAAUGGCCCACCAAGGCGACGAUCGGUAGCCGGACUGAGAGGUUGAACGGCCACAUUGGGACUGAGACACGGCCCAGACUCCUACGGGAGGCAGCAGUGGGGAAUAUUGCACAAUGGGGGAAACCCUGAUGCAGCGACGCCGCGUGGAGGAAGAAGGUCUUCGGAUUGUAAACUCCUGUUGUUGAGGAAGAUAAUGACGGUACUCAACAAGGAAGUGACGGCUAA